GGGCUAUUAGCGCAGUUAGGUAGCGCAUCCGGCUCUUAACCGGCAGGUCGGGGGUUCAAUGGCAAAGUUUGAAUCUCUCAAACGGUUGGAAAUCCCUCAUAGCCCG
Molecule: transfer RNA, 106 nt
Filed under: Promethearchaeota archaeon
Lineage: Archaea; Promethearchaeati; Promethearchaeota
Description: Candidatus Lokiarchaeota archaeon (permafrost metagenome) tRNA-Lys
Rfam family: tRNA
About the family: Transfer RNA (tRNA) molecules are approximately 80 nucleotides in length. Their secondary structure includes four short double-helical elements and three loops (D, anti-codon, and T loops).
Source: RNAcentral